This is a non-coding RNA of Paramuricea clavata, 972 nucleotides long. Lineage: Eukaryota; Metazoa; Cnidaria; Anthozoa; Malacalcyonacea; Plexauridae. The record is from the annotation of a GenBank genome assembly.
UAAUAAUACCUUUUGAAUAUUUGGUAAACGUCAUCUAAAUUCAUCAUUAACAUUCAGCAAAUUGAUCAGAAAUUAGUCCGACAAAUUGCAGCGUGCGAACAGUCUCUCUCGCAUUUGUUAUCUUUAAUCCCCCGGCAUAAAACUUUACCAUUGGCCAGGGCCGUAGCGAAGAAGCAGGUUGGGGGGGGGGGGUAGUAUCCCAUUUGCCGACAUUCGCUAUGUCUAUGAUAAUGCAUUCAAAAAGCAUUCAACCGUAUUAGAAAAAAUAUUUCACUGUUCAAAGCAGCGAUAUCUAGCUGAUGUCACGAUGCAUGUAUAAUAAUAUAGCUGGAACUGCAAAUCUGACAUUCAGCUGGUUUUGAGGUUGAACGGUACUUUUGCACGCUGCGAUUUGUCGUCUACGAAGAUUCUUAAAGCAAAAACAUUGUGAACUACGGUCUACGGCUACCAGCGACAGGUAAUUUAACUGAAUAAGAUCUAUAACAGGUAAUUUAACUAAAUAGUAAAUAGAUCUUUCACUGUAAGCGUACAAAUAUCUUCUUAAAUCAUGAUUAUCAUGCUUCACUAUACAUAACUCGGCAAUAACAGCGCAAAAAAGAUGCAUGGAUAAAUUGUAUAGUCGAACGUGGGCAGCCAUGUUGUAUUGAUGACAUGUCUGAAAAUUUCACCGGUUUAUCAAAAGGUCGUUGCCAGAUUUCAUGUUUGCGGGCUUCUUUGUAUCAUGCAACCAUACCUGAAAAAUAGAACCACGCUUUGAUGUUUUGAGCGAAGGCCCUUCGUCUGAGAGUUAUAUAUUAAUAGAAACUUCCAGACGAAGCCGCUGGCUGAACGUUCCAUCACACGUCAUCACUAUAUGCAUGACUUCUUAUUCACUUAGCGAUGUCAAUGGCACGCUCAGUGUAAAAAUAGAAAUAUAACCAAUUCUACCUAAUUUAGGCCAUAUAAAAUAAAUUUCUUGAUUCUCAUCACCGC